This 253-nucleotide ribosomal RNA is filed under the name uncultured bacterium. Its description in RNAcentral is "partial 16S ribosomal RNA". It matches the Rfam family "Bacterial small subunit ribosomal RNA", at positions 524 to 776 of the family's 1533-position model. The record is from RNAcentral.
UACGAAGGGGGCUAGCGUUGCUCGGAAUCACUGGGCGUAAAGCGCACGUAGGCGGCUUUCUAAGUCAGGGGUGAAAUCCUGGAGCUCAACUCCAGAACUGCCUUUGAUACUGGAGAGCUUGAGUCCGGGAGAGGUGAGUGGAACUCCGAGUGUAGAGGUGAAAUUCGUAGAUAUUCGGAAGAACACCAGUGGCGAAGGCGACUCACUGGCCCGGUACUGACGCUGAGGUGCGAAAGCGUGGGGAGCGAACAGG